AGCGAACGCUGGCGGCAGGCUUAACACAUGCAAGUCGAGCGGGUGUAGCAAUACGUCAGCGGCAGACGGGUGAGUAACGCGUGGGAACGUACCUUUUGGUUCGGGAUAACCCAGGGAAACUUGGGCUAAUACCGGAUAAGCCCUUACGGGGAAAGAUUUAUCGCCGAAAGAUCGGCCCGCGUCUGAUUAGCUAGUUGGUGAGGUAACGGCUCACCAAGGCGACGAUCAGUAGCUGGUCUGAGAGGAUGAUCAGCCACAUUGGGACUGAGACACGGCCCAAACUCCUACGGGAGGCAGCAGUGGGGAAUAUUGGACAAUGGGCGGCAAGCCUGAUCCAGCCAUGCCGCGUGAGUGAUGAAGGCCCUAGGGUUGUAAAGCUCUUUUGUGCGGGAAGAUAAUGACGGUACCGCAAGAAUAAGCCCCGGCUAACUUCGUGCCAGCCGCCGCCGUAAU
RNAcentral lists this ribosomal RNA (453 nucleotides) under uncultured bacterium. Its description in RNAcentral is "bacterial SSU rRNA". It matches the Rfam family "Bacterial small subunit ribosomal RNA", at positions 29 to 524 of the family's 1533-position model. The record is from RNAcentral.